AUACCAACUGUGACAUCCCCAAUUUCACGGCCAGAAAAGACCGAUUUGUUUAUGCUUUGUUUUAUAAAUCAGAGUGAUCGUUUAAAGAAAACGGUUGCGGAAUUUGUUCCCAAAAUAAAAUAUGAUAACCAUUUUAUCAAAACAUUUCUCGAAAAGAAUGUAUUUUCAUUAAAUAAUAAAACCUCGGGAUGUCAUGUUCGUUACAGACCAAAAGCAUAAACAACAUAAAAUAGACCUUACAAUAGUUAUUCAACUACUGAUCUAUAAUCCAAAAUCUCUCGUCAAGUCCGCCGACUUAUACUCUUGUGUCAUUACCUGUAAUGAAAAGAAAACUGAGUGGGUCAGGCUUGGGAGCCUGGUGAGCAUAUAGGGUUUUCAACCCACAAUAAUACAUUUAUUAUAUUCAAUUAUCAAACAAUCAACCCAAAUACCCAUCCCCAUUAUCUUCUUAAGGUUUUACCCUAAGAAUCCACUAUCCUUCAUUCAUUCAUUCCUAAGGAUUUACCUAAGGAAUUGGCACGAAGUCCAUUGCUGCCAAAGUUUAUAGAUCAGGUACUAAAUCCAUAGUUAUCAGACGCUAACUCCAUAGUCGUCGGGGUUUACUCAAGCGACGCUAACUCCAUAGUCACCAAGGUUCACUUAACAGGCACGAAGUCACAUCGUCACCAAGGUUUACUCAAUAGGCGCUAACUCCAUAGUCACCAAGGUUCACUUAACAAGCGCUAACUCCAUAGUCGCCAAGGUUUACUCAACAAGCGCUAACUCCAUAGUCGCCAAGGUUCAUCAAAUAGGCACGAAGUCACAUCGUCGCCAAGGUUUAUACAAUAGGCGCUAACUCCAUAGUCACCAAGGUUUAUCUAACAAUAGGCGCUAACUCCAUAGUCACCAAGGUUUAUCUAACAAUAGGCGCUAACUCCAUAGUCACCAAGGUUUAUCUAACAAUAGGCGCUAACUCCAUAGUCACCAAGGUUUAUCUAACAGCAGGCGCUAACUCCAUAGUCACCAACUAUCCCAUCUACCCAUGUUCUACCCAACAAUUUUGUAGAUAUAAAUACUUACACAGUUUAAAUCAUUUAACACCUGUAUAAAACUCCAAAUUCCAUGCCCAUCUCAAAUAGACAAAUAACAUAUAAACACAUAGCACGUAUUUCAUAGCAAAUACUUCAUAUUUAUGUGUUAGAAGAAAGUAACUACACACUCACACAUAUAAACAACAAUAUACUUAAUACACUCAAACCAUACUUGUAUUAUUAUCGUGUUUAUGAAAGGUAGUAUACACUCACUUGAUCAGAAGAUGAUCGGACAGCACUACGACUUGCAGAAGUAGUAAUCCUCAGCAGAUCUGGAAGAUCUCUUCAAAAAUCGAACUUCUCGCGGGCAGAGCUUCGGCUCGGGAACCGCACUUCUCGGGAUCUUCGGGAUCUCGGGACUUGCUUCGGGACUCGGGAAUAAUACCGGGGCUUCGGGGUACUUCUGGCACGCAAAUCGAUGCAAAACGGGAGAGAGAAGAGAGAAAAUAGCAACCCUAAACGGCUGGCCCUUCAAAUCUAUUUAUAGGGCAAAUUUGGCCCUUGCCACGUCGUGGCAACCUUGUUCCACGUCGUGGGCUUGGUCGUCACUGCAUGCGUCAUCCCAAGUUGCAUCUGGGGGCCUCCCGGAGGUGUCAGGACACUUGCCACGUCGUGGCAACCUUGUUCCACGUCGUGGGCUCUGACAGUUUUGGGGUUUCGCGCCCCGAACUUCAGAAAUUCAUAACUUUCGCAUACGAACUCCGUUUUCGACGUUCUUUAUAUCGCCGCGAAGGUGAGAUUAUGCUCUACAACUCUCGUUUAGACUCCAUUGGCUAAUUUUGACUUUAUUUUUAAUAUAUUAUAAUUAUAUUACUUAUAUAUUAUUUUUAGUAGGCUGGGACAGGAAAACUCCGUUAUGAACUCGUAACUUCUUCGUCUGACGUCAGUUUUCGUCUGUCUUUCCGUCAUUUCACUACUAUCGAUGAGAUCUUCAAUUAUCAUUUAGAUCACUAAGGAUAGAUAUCUAUCAACCUUAAAUUCACUAUUUACGUCGCGCUAGGUCGCGAUAGCUCGUGCCGGUUCUGUCGCGAAACUUCGACAGGUCAUAACUUCUUCGUUAUAACUCGGAUUUUGGCGUUCUUUAUAUGCACGGAAACCUUGUGACAUAUACUAAAACUUGGUUAAGAUUAAUCCUUCUAAAUAAUCUUCCAUCAAAAAGUCAUUUUUGAUGCUUAUCGUCUCUAAAUUAACUAGCCCUAAUCUACGGGCGUUACAUCUUUUGCCAUGUAGCAGUAAUUACUUUCAACCUUCGUCGAUCCGUCCUCUUCAGCAACUGCAACCAUGCAGAUCUUCCAUUUUCCCUUGAUUUCGUCAAAAUCUUCAUCUUCAUCUCUAAAUGACCAUACUUGAUGAUCCCUCUUCACUUGAGCAACAUACGCUGUUGCAGUUUCCUUUUCUUCCAUCUAUUGGGCCAUUCUAAGAUAGAAUGCCUUGUUCUUAACCACAUUUGCUUUACAAUCUUUGCCAAAGUGAUUUUCUUUAUGGCACUUGUGGCAGAUAAUGAUUUCAUUUUUCUCUUCAGUUGAGGUACCGGAGGCUAAUGAUUUGCUGGACUGCGGCGCCUCUUUGGAAUGAUGUGCAUUGUAUGGUUGCGGUGGAUGGUGAGGCUUUUUGGGAUAUCAUGAGUGGUUGUUCUGCGGAUUGAAGUUGCGGUUGAAAGGUGGUUUGGUAAACUGGUGAUUUUUACGAAAUGGUGGUGGUGGUAGUCGGUUGAAUUGCUAGCUAACCAAGGCAAUGACAUUUUGAAAUUCUUCUUCGUCAUCUAUUUCAACAUUAGCUUCAUAUGACUGCGAUGAUUCUGUGGGAUAUGAGUACUAUGAAGUUUUGACUUGUGGGGUUUGAGCUAUCAAGGCAAGUGGUCCACCGAGGUCAGCAUAAUCUUCCCGAACAGUUGAUUCUUGUGCCUGAAGUUCUCCAUACAACUUGAACAAGGACAACGUAUGGAUCUUUCUAUCUCCUUGUACAAUCAUCUUCGUAGUAUACCAAAGUCUUCCCAAACCAUUGAGAAAAUGUAGGUUUGUUUCAUGAUUGCUUCGAAUUCUACCUGCAUUUGAUAACUUCGUGAUGAUGAGAUUGAAUCGUUUGAAUGAGUCGUCAAGACUUUCACCAGGAAGAGCUAAAUUGUUAAACUCAAUUAGUUAUGUGGUGAGUUUCUUAUCUGGAGCUUGUUCUAACCCUUGAUAGAGAUUCUUGAGCACAUCCCAGAUCUCUUUAGCAACACCGUAAGAGAUUUCAUAGAAGGCUAUGGCAUCAUUUUCCAUCUUGUCAAGAUCAUCUGUGGUUAGAUAAUUCAUUGCAGCUUGACCUCCACCUAGUCAUGCUUGAGCACCAUCUUCUUGAACAUGAUUAAGAAUAGGGACAUGGGGUCCUUCUUCCACAGAUCUCCACACAUCUCUUCCGCGCCUCUUAAGAUACCUUUCCAUCCUUUGGGACCAAUGGUGGUAUUCAUUUGCAACAAGUAUUGGUGCUCUAUUCGAGCCUCCAACACUUUUAGGAACGUUCAAUGAUAAAGCUUGUGCCAUAUUUCCUUUUUUUUGUUUUUUUAAAGAAUGAGCUUUACUGGUAUAGAAGGCUUUUCAAAAUCCAAGCUUUUGUUUAAAAAGCAACCACUUUGGCUCUGAUACCAAUUUUUGAGAGAAAAACUUUUGAGAAACACUUGAACAAACGUUAGUACAAGAUAAUAGUUGUGGAAUAAGUUAAUCUCAAAGGAUCAAGUUAGCUCAACAAUAAUAAGUUAGAAAUGUUAGAUAGUUAGUUACGGUAAUGUAAAUGACAACAAGUUAUAUCAAGUAAACAUCAAACUGAUUCGUAACAAGGUUUGCAGUCAAACACGAGUUAGUAAGUGUGAACAUUUUAAGAUGAAGAGGACCUCAGAUAUUAGAUAAGAGAGAGAAAGAUAUGAGAGAAUGAUCUUUGUAUUUCAGUGAAAGUUCAAAGGAUCGUGAAAGAGAUGUGUGAUUACAUGAUGAAGGGAGUCUCUAUUUAUAGAGUCCCAUAACGUUACAUGAUGAAGGGAGUCUCUAUUUAUAGAGUCCCAUAAAGCAAUGCUAAUACACUAAGUUAGUUAACAAAAGGUCUUCAUCAAUCUUCAUUGUGGUAGUGAUUGCGGAUGACUACGGUUCUCAAACCAACUUCUUCAGCUUUAACUAUGGUAGACACACUUCAAUUGCAGUAGCCACUACAACUGCAUUAGAUACAAAACAAGAUUACGGAUCCUUAAAGUUAAAGAGGGUCACUUUAUGUAUCAACACUCACAUUACUUAAGAGUUCCACAAAGCACAAAGCAAGCAGCAUUCGUGCAGUUGCACUUCAAUCCAUAUAAUAACCAAAGAUCAUUCAAACUCAUAUACUACCACUCAUGCAAGGAACUUCCACUCUCACUGUCGGUUGCCUUAUGCAUGCAAAUUUUACACAAGAUAGGAUCAAAUAGAAUGUCGAAUAAAAGACUCUACCCUGGGACCAAAACCAAACGAGGAACAGGAAAUAAGGCCAAAUCAAUCAUUCUAGCGCUAUAUGCUCCUAACCGUAUACAAUUUUUAUGGCAUACACUUAGAAAAUCAUGAUAACAAUACACAUUCCCAAUCUAGCAUAGCAUACAAUGCUUCCAAGGCUACAAGGAAUCACAUAUCAUGCUAAUCAAUCAAGUAAUUCCUAAAAGUAUCCCUAGCCUUAUCCUUACAUGCAAACAUUCAUACCAUAUAGCAUAUCAACAUUUAUGGGUAUUUUGGUAAUCACUUACUUGAGCUCGGUCGAUUGCACGCACCACACCGCUCUUCUUUUAUUAUAAAAUCCUCUAAUAAAACCUAUUAUUUUAGAAAAAUUUACCAAACCCUCAGUUUGAGUUCAGACACACCAAAGAGUAUGCUCGAAUCCCUCAAAGGAAGGCUCUGAUACCAACUUCUAACAUCCUGAAAAUCAAGAGGUAAAAAUUUUAUUUUUAUUCAACCAAAACACCAAUUAUCUUUACAAAAACAUUCAAAGUAAUAGAGUUAUCAGAGUAUAAUCCCAAAAUCGACAUGUUGCGGAAACAUGGGUGGAUGCACUGUGAUAAAGUUGGGCCCUUCCCUAUUGAACUAGAAACACCUGAAACCAAGAAUUGAAAACAGUAAGCACAAAUUUUAGUGAGUUUCCCAAAAUACCACAUACCAUACAUAUAAAACAUAUAGUAGGCCCCGCCCUAAUUCGCAUAACGGGCCCGCCCAUUGAGUAUAAUGGGCCUUACCCUAACUCGCAUAACGGGCCCUGCCCACUAAGUAUAACGGGCCUCACCCUAACUCACAUAACGGGACCCGCCCAACAUACAAACAUACAAGUAUAACAAAUGUAAAAACAUACUGAAUAACCAUCAGGCCCCACCCAAUAAGCAUACAAGCACAUACACAUGCAAGAGUCACAUAGACAUCUAGCAUCCUAACAUAACAAACCAUGGGCCGGCAUUGGUGCCUUCGACCCGCUAAACAUGUUGAGGAAACUCACCUCAAGCCGAUGAAUCUGCCAAUGAAUUCUUAGUCUGCUGAUCCGGAAAUCCCUACACGGUAGCACCAUCAAAUAAUUAUCUAAUUAAUAAUUGAAUCUUGACCCAAAACAAGAAUCAAAGCCACUUAAUCCAUAACCAGGGUAAAAGGCCAUUUUACCCUUUCCUUACUUGGCCCAAAACCUAGGCCUAACCUAUUUUCUCGAAAAAUCCCAAUUUCCUAAAUGGAAACCCAAGGCCCAAUAUGGCCCAAUUUCCUAAUUGGGCCCAAAAACUAUCAUGGGACCAAUACCAAGAAGGCCUACGGUCAAUCCAUGGCCUAAAGUCAAAAGUCCAGUGGCCCAACAAGCCCCAAUCCCUAAAAAGCCCAAAAUAUCCAUCCUGGGGAGUAUGCCCUAUGUACUACAAACCUACGCCCCGUGUACUCAGCCACGAAGCACAAUGUACAAGUUCUCGAUGCAUUGUCCAAGCGUUACGCUGAGCGUACUCCUACAUACGCCCAUCAUACUCAUCAGAGGCCAAAACUCACCAUUAAGCUCUUAUUGUGUUAAUUCAAGUUUUCCAAACUAUUAUCUUAACCCGAAAUAAUGUCUUAAACCAUAAAGUCGAAACCUUUAAGCCUUUGCAUGGCUAAAGAGGGUUAAAUCUUCAAAAUCCUUACUUUCACAACACUCAAAACCACUUAACUCUUGCAUGGUGCUAAGGAAACAAUCAAACAAACAUUUUUAUGAUUCAUAAUAGCUCCAUAAUGGAUAAAGUUUUGAACUUUAUCCAUUAGAAUGGUCCCAACAAACAAGAUCUAGUCUUUAAGUCUCAAAGGGACCCAAAAGUGCAUCUUUUUUCAAUUUAAUCCACUAAAUCCAAGUUUACAACCUUCAGAUCUGAAUCAAAAUGAUGUUUAGAUGGAUAAAGUUUCCAAAUUUAUCCAUAACAAGGUCACAAAAUUUCAAGAUCUAAACUUUAUGAACUUAAAGUAACCAAAAGCUCAUAACACUCAAAACUAACUAGAUCUAACAAUAUCAUCAUCAAGAUUCAAAAUUUAUACCUCUAGAAGAAAGAUCAAUGUGAACAAAGUCUGGAUCUACAAGCUCCAAUGUAACCAACACUUCUUCCAUGAGUCCCUUCUUCUCCAAGGUGUACCAAGAACAUUCCAAAGCACUUACAAAUAAAUUCUUUUUUCUCACAAGGCUCAAUCGAGGAUUACAGUUUCAAGAGAUGGUGUUAGAGAGGUGGAGGAUGAAGUGGAGUGUGUUUAGGGAAGUUAAGGAGCUUCAAUAGGGUUCAAACCACGAAAAUAGGGUUUGGGUACUGAUCGUGUACGCCCUACAUACACAAUUUACCCCCAAUGUACUAGGGAUUCCCGAGUAUGCCGUGCGUACUCCUCGUUCGCCUCACGUACGCGGCUGGUCCAGAAAUCACCUAACUUUAAACGAUCGUAACUUCUUCGUUUCAACUACGAUUUCGAUGAUCUUUAUAUCUAUGGAAAGGUAAUGAGAAGCUCUACAACCCUAUAAACUUGCCUUUGCCUUAAAACUUUUUUAACGUAAAUCUAAAAUUCAUAAAAGUCCCAAACUAUCACUUUAAGGUUAUACCCUUGGGCUCCAAAGCGUCAAUCAAACUCUCGGAUCACCUAAUCUACAUUAAUCACAUCCAAAGGGGUCUAAAUCUCUCUUUCCCCUAAGGCUCGAAGCCUUAUGAUAACUGGUCUUCGGGUCACGAACCCGAAUUAUGAAAUGAUUCGAAAUAGGGUGUUACAUCUUUCCUCCUUCAUAAGCACAAGAACAUAUACUUUCAAGCUAAAAAACAUACACCAAUGAACUAGGGUUUGCAAGGAACGUUUCUGGGAGAUGGAGGUUGAUGGGGGCAAGGUCUCAAAGGAGUUAAGUCCUUUAUAUAGGGCUCAAACCCUAAAAAAAUUGGGUUGUGCACUACGGCAUUACGUGUUGCUACUACUAUAAGUCCUCACAUCCAUUUUAAUGAGCUCCAACUUAUGCCCUGUGUAAGUACCAAAAUGUCAACAUUUUAAACUUUGAGCCAUAAAUGAAAAUACCUGAAAAACGAGUGUUACAUUUUGACUCUAAUUUAUCUUUGAAAAAAUGUUUUGAGACAAAUUCUACAUUAUUAUAUUCUUUAACAUGAUACUUUGUUUUAAAUAAGCGCAUAGAGAAAGAUUUAUUUGGCCACACAAAUUAUGUAUGUCACAGUUUAACCAGUUACAGACAAAUUGACCGUAACCAAAUUAACCAAAACCGAUUAAACCGAACAUUAUUUGGUUUGAUUAUGAUUAGUUUUAAGAUGUAAAAAAACGAAAAAACUGAACCGUUUAAACUGCAAACCGAAAAAACAGACUAAAUAACACCCAUAUCACCAAUAAUACGCAUAAACCAAUCUUUUCUCAUUUGAAACCUUCUAUUGAAUUUUUGGUCACCAAAGGUUGCAUUAUUUGCAAAUUAAUGUUGCAUCAACAAUUUUUUUUGUUGUCUCUUCAUGAUCUUUGUGUAAUUUUAGAUAAUGCAUAGAAAAUAAGAAAAUUAGUGGUUUCAUAAUCGUCUGAUGAAGACGCAUAAUAAGGAUUUUCUUUUGUAACGUAUUUCUUGAUGAAUGGAUUCAUUAUUUUUGAAAGAGUUGAAUGAAAUUGGAGAUUGUUGGAAAGAAUUGGAGUGAAUUUAUGUUUUUUAGAGUAGAUGAUUAUUGUGUAUAUAGUUGAAUAUAUAAAAAUCAUUGAACAGUAACAGGGAGGGAGCGAGAAAGAAUUCAUGCGGUUUACUCAACCAGUUCGAAACACCCUUUUGGUGGUACUACGCGGCCUCGUGGCGGUGUAGCCGACAGUACCGCCUUGAACCAACUUCAAAAAGAUUUCCGACUCGACUCCAUCGAAGCCUAAAGUAACAAAGAUAUACAAAUCGGCUCAAAGAAGCUAAAAGGCUACUUAAAAUAUCUACAUAGCCCUUGCAAGUCGAAAUCUUGAUUCUGCAUAUUAGUUUUAAAGAAUUCCAACUGUGUUACCUUUUAAAUAUCGUAUUAACUACACUAUGAUUCAAUUUAUUGAAAUUUAUGAUAUAUUGGAUAGAAUUAGAACGAGUGUUCCAUUGUUCAUAAAAUGUGCUCAAUCAAUGUUAGUUAAUAUUUUUAAAGCUCAAAGUUAUACCAGAGCCAUAAAACCCUAGCUUAAAUUGGAGCGGCUCUUAAACAAUUUUCUUUUAACUGGUCCAUAAAUAUCUCUUGAAUUUUUUACGUUUAGUUACGUUCUCAAAGAUUGGAUCUGAUCGAGGUUCAUUCAGUCGUCAACAAUUUCAAAGUAACCCUUAAAAUAUUUGAGUUAAAUAAAACUUUUCUUCACAUGUACUUAACGUUGUUUCAUAGGAUAAGAUAAAGCUGAAUAAUAAAAAUUAAAAAAUAUUCAGGACUUAAAAGUUUGAUGUGGUCUGUCAUCAUUUUGUUCUUCAUACAAGUGGGGUCCAUUUUUGCAUGAAAAUUAACUUCUUUUACCCUCUACCUCUCCCUCUCAACUUUGUUAAGUCUUUUCUUCAGAUCCCAUCAUAUUUAACCGUCGAUAUAGAGAGAGAGAGAGAGAAACACUCACACUCACUCCGAGUAUAUCAGUGUUAGAGAGAUGAUAAGGGUAUAAAUAAACAAUCGCCGGCGAAUAUAGAACACAAACAUCACCGGAGAAAAGGGUUUGGAUAGUGGAAUCAGUUGCUCAAUUACUUUAUGUGGGUUCUCAACGACCAUGUCAUUUUCCGGCAGAAGGAGGAGAUCAGCGGUGUACUCUUCAAUGGUGGUCUUGCUGAUCAUCUUCUUGGUACUUCAGAUAUGGGCGUUGAAUAGCGAUUGUUGUAGGGUUAGUGCAAUAAGAACGUCACUAUCACCACCACCACAACUACCACCGCCGCCACCACCACCACCACCAUCAUCACAAUCCUCAUCUGCAAAAGAUUCCGACGAGAUCAAACGAUCGGAGCUUUACAGAAGGUUCUUCAAUGGCAGAUUUGCUCGUCUCAACUCCACCACUGUUUCAAAAGAUAAAAGCUUUCAAGAAAACAAAAGAAGAGUUCCCAGUUGUCCAGAUCCUCUUCACAACUAAAAACCCUUGCAUCUCUUAGGUUACCUUCAAGCUCUUUCUUUCUUUCUUUCUUUCUUUCCCUGUGUUUCUCUUAUAAUUUAUUUUGGUAGUUAGUAAAUAUCCAAAAUACCCACGUUUUUCCCACUAUUUUUGUGACAUUAUAUGGAUGAAUUUCGUUAUAUUAGGGGCUAAACCGUGGGUAUUUUGGUAUUGUGUAAGGCAAAAUGCUUUCCUUUUUUGUUUGGUAGAUCAAGAACAAUGGCCGAUCAUGAUGUAUAUACUAUUUGAGAUUUGAAAUUCAUAUAGUUCAACACCUCUUCUCACUUCUGCUUUGCUUCGAUCUUGAUUAUUUAUUUAUAUUUUGGUUUUUAGCUGGCUGAUGGCUCCUUCGUUUUUUGACAGUUUGUACACAUAACAUAGCCCACCUCAAAAACAAAAAACACUCAAUCAUGGUUGAUUAAAUUUGACAAGAUUUGUCAUCAAAAUCAGUCCCCACCAUGUCCCUUCUGAGCUCAAAAUCCUCCAUGAUUACAUGAUGAGCAACGCCAUUAAUUGCCAGAUUUGUGCAUAACUAUUCUUUCUAACUCCAAUGAUCAUCAAAUUCAAUGUAAGAUUUAUAAAUAUAGGAUUCUUGGAAAAAGAUUGUGUAGGUCAAAAGAUUAAACUAUGGCUUCUCUUUUAGAUGUUAAAAAUAAAAUAAACAAGAAAAAUAUGUAAAGCUUGCAUAAAGUGUUUUCGGAAGGUUUCAUGAUUGUUGUAGCAGAAAAGUAAGAAAACAAAAAUAGUAGUAAUUGUGGGUGUUUUUGGUUUUGGGAUGUUUCUUUUCCGACAGAUGUUAAAGGGUACCUUUAUUUUACCCCAAAAGGUCAAAAUAUGACACUUUCAUUUGUCUUUUCUUGUACCCAAAAAUCUUUUAAUCCAAUCUCUAAAACAUCCCCAUGUGAACUCAUCUGUAUCUUCUUCAUUUCCCAUAAGCUAUUUUAUAUACUAUCUUCCUCUUCAAUAAAAUGUACAAAAAUCAAGGAUUAAGAAUUAAGAUGGAAAUAAUGAGCAUGUUGUAAUGAACUAAUUAUUAUUAACAAAUACAUAUAGGUGAGGAUUAAAUGCGAUUAGUUGAUUCAUAGAAAAAAAAAACAUUAGUUGUACAUAAUCUUGACAAGGGUCCUUCUAAUAAACUGACAAACUAACAUUUUUAUCUGACUCAAAAGACAAAAGAUCACAGAUUUUACAAGACAUAACUGCAACCUAUAAUUCGUACCUGAAUCUUCUUUUUAAUACAUCUAUAUAAAAUAAUUUACGUAUUUUCCUUUAUUACAAAAGUGUAUUAUUCUACAUGUGUUGUUUAGGUAUCAUAUAUGGAUAAAGAUUGAUUUGACUAUGGUUGACCUUUGUAAAUGUAGUAGAUUUAGGAUGCCUGAAUGGUAGAGUUCAGAAAAGCGAAUUGCCAUUUGGGUGAAAAUGUAGAUUCUAAGUAUCAAUGCCUUGAAAGGAGGAUACACGUCUUGGAAGAGGGGAUCAAUACUUUUUACUCCCCAACACUGCCUAUUACACAAAAUAUAUACUCAUCAUUUCAUAUAUAAAUUCCAUUCUAAUACUCAAUCUAUCUCAGCAAUUGUUUAUUAAAAAUAUUAUUACAAAAAGUGAGAGAUAUUCAUAUAGGAACUGAUUUAUGUUAUUUAUUUAUUUAAAAAGUGUUUUAGCUUUUAUACAAUUAAAGAAAGAGUUGUAUAAAGUCAAAACAAUUUUUUUCAAUAAAUAAAUAAAUAAAUAUAAAUAAAAAUAUCACCUCCCAAUUCGUAUGGCUACAAUGCACAUAGUAUACAAUCAUGUUGGAAAAAAGUUGUAUUCUUGGCUUUGAUUCUCGUUUUUUAUUUAAUCUUUAUUAAUUUAAGUGUACAUUAAAAAAAGUAUAGUGUAGUAUUUUAUCUAAAAGGCUAUUAUGAAUACUUAAAUGUAAACUACAUCAAAAAAAUGUUCAAACUUCAUUUCUUUUACCAUUAGAAAUGUUAUUAAAAUAUGGGGAAAUUAACUAAUCUAACCAUAAUGUAAUAUGUGUUUGAAGAAAAUAACAAUUUUUUUUUAGAAAAAUAACCAUCAAGUCCGGAAUGGAGGAUACGAACAAAGAAAAACUAUUUUUUCUGACAAAAAAGUAAAUUUCGAACUAAUAUUUCGGAUUUCAGAUUGAAAUCUCAAAGUUCGAAAAACAAACACUAAAGUUUCAAGAAAAGUUGAAAAUCUGAUGAACAGUUAUAUAAUUUCUAGAAGAAAAAAGAUUUUGUUUUCUACUAAAAUUUGUUUAAAUCAAAUAUUUAAUUGAAAAACGGUAAUAUUAAAGAAUUUAAAAUAGACAUUUCAUAUAUAGGUAAAGAUAUUUCUUUGAAAAAAUAUCAUAAAAGAAUUCCUUAGUCCAAAAUGAGAACAUUUAGGAGAAAGUGAUUAUCUUUUAAAAACUAAACAAAUGUUAUUUUCUUUAAAAAGUUUAUUUACAAUCGAUAGAUUACUUAAUUUCCAUAAAAUCUAUACACUUAAUCAAAUCAAANNNNNNNNNNNNNNNNNNNNNNNNNNNNNNNNNNNNNNNNNNNNNNNNNNNNNNNNNNNNNNNNNNNNNNNNNNNNNNNNNNNNNNNNNNNNNNNNNNNNNNNNNNNNNNNNNNNNNNNNNNNNNNNNNNNNNNNNNNNNNNNNNNNNNNNNNNNNNNNNNNNNNNNNNNNNNNNNNNNNNNNNNNNNNNNNNNNNNNNNNNNNNNNNNNNNNNNNNNNNNNNNNNNNNNNNNNNNNNNNNNNNNNNNNNNNNNNNNNNNNNNNNNNNNNNNNNNNNNNNNNNNNNNNNNNNNNNNNNNNNNNNNNNNNNNNNNNNNNNNNNNNNNNNNNNNNNNNNNNNNNNNNNNNNNNNNNNNNNNNNNNNNNUAUAUAUAUAUAUAUAUAUAUAUAUAUAUAUAGAGAGAGAGAGAGAGAGGGAGAGAAAGAGAGAAUUAGGUUCAAGUAUUCUAACUAAUUAUUGUACAUCUAUCGUAUGCUAUGAGAAUGACAAAAAAAAAAUAUGUUGUUUGAUAAUAUAAAUACGUUCAGUUUUACAUAAUUAUUGUCAUUAACAAAUAUUCUCACUAAUUAAAUAGUCUAUAAGGUUAUUAUACACUUAUUAUUAUUAUUCUCAUUUCUGUCAGAAUAUUGUCAGAAUGUUUUAUUGGGUCGUAUUCUGUCAGAAUGAAAAUUACUGAAAUAUGAUGUGUGAGAAAAAAAAAUAAUUAAUGAGAAUGCAAGAAAAUGACGAUAUUCUUGUAAGGUUGAACGUAUUCGCAUUNNNNNNNNNNNNNNNNNNNNNNNNNNNNNNNNNNNNNNNNNNNNNNNNNNNNNNNNNNNNNNNNNNNNNNNNNNNNNNNNNNNNNNNNNNNNNNNNNNNNNNNNNNNNNNNNNNNNNNNNNNNNNNNNNNNNNNNNNNNNNNNNNNNNNNNNNNNNNNNNNNNNNNNNNNNNNNNNNNNNNNNNNNNNNNNNNNNNNNNNNNNNNNNNNNNNNNNNNNNNNNNNNNNNNNNNNNNNNNNNNNNNNNNNNNNNNNNNNNNNNNNNNNNNNNNUAAUAAUAAAUUUUUUGGUAAAGAUUUUACAAACUAAUGGUAUUUGUGUAAUUUGUUCUUAACUUUGAUUCAAGCAUAUUGGAGCUUGUUUAACCAUAAUAGGGUAAAAAUGUAAUGAAUGCUAAGUUUAAGGGGCAUAUUCGACAGUUUUUGGGAAUAUCAAAAGAGUGCAAUUAAAUGGUGGCAUUCAACACAUUCUUCCGUGUUAUUCGGAGUACGUCAACCUAAUCCAUGCCUCCCUAAUUCAUUCUUUCACUGUCUGUCCCAAUGCCAGCUACCACUUCCUUCAAUUCAUUCAAUAAACAAGUUGCUCAACCCCAAAAACCACAUAUAUACUGGUCUUUAUAAUAUAUUAUCAUUGCUAAUUUCUUUAAAUCUGUUAAGUUUGUUUAUAAAAGAAAAAAAUACAAAUACUUAGCUUAAAUGAGGAUUAUUAAGUGGCAUGAAGAUACAUUAUGGUCGGGGCCAACGGGGGAGCGUGUAGACGUGAACAAAAAGACUGGUCUUGGACAACGUCUGGAAAUGACCGAGACCAAACCAAUCCAAAACGAAACCACACCAAAAGAAGACCGCACGAGCCCUAGACUGUCAAGGACCGGUCCAAAAAAAAAAAAAACAAAAAACUGCUAUGAGAUUAAUGUCUAAAAAGACCCGACCGUUCUGAGACCGUUCCAAAACCAGUCUCAAAAAAGAUUGUAAGCGAAAGUUUAUAUACAUAGAAUUUUGUGUGUUAUUACACAAUUUUAAUCAAAUUACUAAACUUGUUCCAUUCUUUACUUUAUUAAAUUUUAGUGUAUCAUUUUUAUUAUCUCUUAAUGCAUUAUUUUUGUGUUAAUCUUAUAUUUUUUAAUGGAAAAACUCGAAACUGAAAACACCUCAAAACUAAAUCGAAAAAGAUACACAAAAAGACUACGGGAUUGGACCGAAAAAGAUCUAGACCGGCCCCAAAUAGGUCAGACUGAAAAACACCAACCAAAGACCGUUUGAGAAAAAGACUCAUCUGUUUUGAGACAUGUCUUAGGGGAACCUAGGAGACCGUCCAGGGCCCAUAGUUAAGGGGCCCGCAAAUUUUCUAUAAAUUGUAGGGAAAAUUAUAGAAAUGUUGGUUGAACUCAGAAAUGGCAAAAAGGGUCAUGGAGAUGUGAUUGACAUAGUAAGAAAAUGAGGAAAUAAUCAGGAAAAGUUAAGAACCAAAUAUCUUUAAAGUCAUUUAUACAAAUCAUAAAAAUAAUAUCUUUGAGUUUAUUUAUUAGUUCUUAAAAUCAUGCAUCGGACAAGUUAUUAUUUUAGUUAUAAACAGGUAAUUUUUUUUCCAAAAUAUCUUUAUUUUCAUCAAGAAGUGUUGCAUUUUCCUAAAUAUCAAUUUUAUAUAAGUUGUUUUUCACAAAAUUUCCAAAAUCAAAAUACUAGUAGAGUUUGUUAAUGGAAAAACACGAAACCGGAAAAUAACGAAAACACCCAGAAACCGAAUCGAAAAAGACACACAAAAGACCGCGAGAUUGCAUUGAAAAAGAUCGAGACCAAUCCCAAAAAGGUUAGAUGGAAAAACACUGACCCAAGACCGUCCGAGACUGAUAUGGAAAAAGACUGAUUCCUUUUGAGACCAGUCCUAGGGGGAACCUAUGUGACUGUCCAAGGCCCAUAGUUAAAAGGGACCGCCGAUUUUCUUCAAAUUGUUGGGGAAACCAUAAAAAUGUUGGUUGAACUUUGAAAUGGCAAAAACGGUCAUGAAGAUGUGAUUGACAUAAUAGGAGAAUAAGGGAAUCAUUUGGAAAAGUUAAGAACCGAAUAUCUUUAAAGUCAUUUAUGCAAAUCAUAAACUAAUAUCUUCGAGUUUGAUUUAUUAGUUCUUAAAACCAUGCGUCGGGCAAGUUACUAUUUUAGUUAUAAUCAUGUAAUUUUCUUUUAUAAAAUAUCUUUCAUUUCGCCAAGAAGUGUCGCAUUUUCCUAAAUAACAAUUUUAUAUAAGUUGUAUUAGAGAUAUAUUACCAAAAUGGAUUUACUUUGUAUAUUAUUUUUAUGUUUUUUUGUAUUCCUUAUUUAUCUUAUUGUAUUUUAUCAAUUAUAUAUAUAAAAUACCGCUCUGCCACAAUUAUUGGUACGAUUUCAUAUCACUUACACGGUAUCAACCAAAUUUUAGGGUUUCUGCCUCCCCCUUUGUGAGCACCGACUUCAAGUUUAUCACAUACCUGGUGAGAUUUUCUUUUCAUACUCAUCAUGCUUUUUUCUUCUUUUUCAAUCAAUGAUGCGUCUCUACCCAUGGCUAUUGUUCUGCACAUGAUUACAAUCAAACUAUCAUUUCUAGCUACUUGUUGUGGAAGAAUCAUAUGAUUCCUAUUCUCACAUAUAAAAAUCUUUAUCCCACAUGUAUGGUUUCUUUAUUUUGUCUCCAAUCAAAUUCUUCAAUAUGGUAAAGAAAUUACAAAUUUUGAUUAUGGCUCAUGGUUAUCUGUUGAUCAAUGUGAUGUCAUCAUUCUUAACAUUUCUUUGACUGAGGAAGUGGUUACUGAAGUUCUUAUAUUCUCUCACGUUAGAGAGAUAUGGUUAGCCCUUUUCAUGAUCAACUUCAACAACGCAUAAAACGAAUCGCUUCUGUUGCUAAUUUUGGUAGAAAAUUUAAGAAUGUUUGUUAUUAGCUUGCAGCUAUAAGUCACCCAAUGGAUGAAAAAGAUAAAUUCCAUUGGUUUUUAUGUAGACUUAGUGCAUAUUUUGAGAUUUUUUCUACAACCAUACAUACCUCCAAACCAUGACCUGUAUUUUAUGACUUGCUUUCUCAGGAUGAGAGUCAUGAAAUUUUCUUAAAGUUACAUUAUGGUUCUACGCCACCACCUGUUGUGUUUUAUGCUCAAAAUUCUCAGCCUAAUUACAACUCUAAGCAUCAUGGUCGGUCACCCCAAUCAUAUCGUGGAGGUAACUCAGGUGGCAGAAAACAUGUUACUCGUCAUCCUCCAGACAAUCAACUUUGUCGUCAAAACAUACGUUAUGCAGAAGCUUAUCCUACUUUAUACAGUUACGCCAAGAAAGCGCUAUAUCCGGAUGCGAAUCUAGUACAAGAAUUUUAGGUUGAAUGUCAUGUGACUUCAUCCGCUCCACACCAGUAUGUUGAUUAAGUAGCAACUGCUCAUAUGACUCUUUCUCAAGACACUAUCCAACGUAGUGCACCAUACUUGGGUAAUUCCAUAGUUACAUUUGGAAACAGUAUUCUCUUCCUAUUUUUCAUAACUACAGUUUCAAACCAUAUUAAAUUGAAAGAUGUCUUGGUUGUUCUACAUCUCAAUAAGAAUCUUUUGUCCAUAAGCAAACUCACAAAUGAAAACCCACUAGAUGUUUUAUUUUCUCAACCCUUAUUUCAGAUUCAGGAUAGGCACAAGAGACAAGUUCUAGCACAAAGAAAAUGUGAAUAUGGUUUAUAUAUUCUUAAAGAGGGACAUAAAGCUUUGGUUUCAGUUUUAAGUUCAGCUUCUAGAGCCUCCUUGGCAUAAGAGACUAGGCCAUUUUUCCUAUGAUGUUAUUGAUGGGUUUAUAGGUAACAAAAAUUUCAUGUGGCGGAAAAACUUAACACUUAAGUUCACAUACAACCUAUAAGGAUCUAUGUUUUCUCUAUUGAACAUAUGUCACACCCCAAAACAGAGAACGGUGGAAGCGUUCUGGGGCUGAGGACGUCAUGUAAUGUAUCACAACAAUGUAAAGUAGUAAACAAGCAACAACAUCAUCCAUUGCAUUAAUAGUAUAAUUUUAAUUACAAGUGUGUUCUUUCAUAGUAUAAGACAACAUAAUAAAUAUUCAAAAUAAAAGAGGAGUCUUGAUUGCUCUAUCUUCACAAAACCUGGUCGUCGUACCCGUCUAUUUGUGACCUGAGAAUACAAGUAUUUUGAAAGCGAGUAUCAACAAUAAAGCUGAUGAAUUCAUAAGUAUUAAUGUGUCUUUGAUUUGUAAAACUGGAAAGUAAAAACUUGUAAACAUUUGGAAAAAAGUAUGUAUAAGUAUGAACUGUUUGAAAGUAGUUGAAAAUGUUUGAACACCCUAGCAAAUCCCUAUGAUUUCUAUUAGUAUAAAUAGUAGUCUUCUACCAAGGCCUAACUAUUUUGAAAGUAUGCAUCACUGUAAAUGUGACGGUUUUUCCCUGUUUAACAAUUGUUAUAAAACUAUAGUCUACCUCAUCGAUUAUGUAAAUGUGUCACAAAAUAAUGGUAGUAAUAUAAUUAUAUAAGUUUAGUCUACCUCGUCGUUGUGCGAAUGUAUCACAAAGUAAAGGAAUUGAACUAAUAACUUAAAUAUUAUCCUUUGGUACUAGGAUAAACACGGCAUAGGAAUUACCGAAUGGUAUUAACUGUAGUCAUUUGAAGAUGUACAUUUACCUCUGUUGCUAACAGUUGGGUGUAGAAAUAGUUAGUCCCUUAAGGUAUAACUAUAAUGGUAUCAACCGUAGACAUCCAUAGAUGUGCAUUUACCUCUGUAGCUAAUAGAGGUUAUAGGAAUGGUUAGCCCCGCAAAGUAUCCAUUUGUACUAGGAUAGACAGAUCUAAUCUACAUGUAUAAUAUGUAAUAGUAUCUCAUCAUAUAGUAUCUAGGUAAAAGUAUCCAUGUAAGAGGAUUCAUGUAAGCGCAUCUAUGUAAACGUAUUCAUGUAAGUGCAUCUAUGUAAACGUAUUCAUGUAGCAUGUAAUGUAUUGUAUAGACUCAUGAAUGAACUGACUCUUGUGCGAUUCCUUGUACUUGGAAUGGUAAAUAGUAUCUCCUAACUAUACCUAUUAUAGUUACUAGUAAUGUACGUGUAUAACUUGAAGUAUGCCUUUGCUACCUAAAGGUACUGAACUGACUGAGGAAAACUUUUAUGUCUAUAUAUGUACAUAUGAUAUAUAGCUAAUAUUUAGACGACAUUCGGACGGAUAACCGAUAUCCCAUAGCCACAUUCCAACGAGGAAAAGGAAAUAGAAUGAGUUAGGCUCCCUAAUUCCUUUAAACAUUACUUAUAUAAUGUGACAUCCCCAAAAUCACGGCCAGAAAAGACCGAUUUUGUUUAUGCUUUAUAAAAAUUAGAGUACUUCAUUUUAUAAAAAGGUUGCGGAAUUUGUUCCCAGAAAAACAUGGUAAAUACGUUAUUAAAACAUUUUCGAAGAAACGUAUUUAUUUCAUUUUAAAAUGUUUGGGAUGUCAUCGUUAAUACCGAAACAUAAGCAUAAACAGAACUUACAAUGAUUUACACUAGUGAUCUACAUCUCUUUUAAAUCUCUCAGUGUAAUGUCACUUCACUUCGUCACCUGUGAUAUACAUAAACUGAGUGGGUCAGGUUGGGAAACCUGGUGAGUACAUAGGGUUUUCAACCCACAAUAAUAUAAUUAUUAUGUUCAAUCAAACAAUCAACCCAAUUACCCAUCCCCAUUAUCUUCUUUACUCUUUAAGGAUUUAACCUAAGAGUCAUCUAUCUUGCAUUCGUUUAUUCCGAAGUCCCUUACUUCCAGGGUUAUGGGACUGGCACUAAAUCCAUAGCUGCCAAUGUUCGUUUAUAAAGCACUAAUUCCAUAGCUGCUAUAGUCUAUUCAUCGGGUACUAAAUCCAUAGCUACCAGUCUUUAUCUAAUAGGUACUAAGUCCAUAGCUACCAAUGUUCAACAGGUACUAAGUCCAUAGCUACCAAUUCCUACAGGUACUAAAUCCAUAGCUACCAACGUCUAAAAGGUACUAAGUCCAUAGCUACCGGUGUUUGUCCCAUAGGCACUAAGUCUGUAGCUGCCAAUGUAUACUCACGUCAUCUUCUAUCUCUCAUCAUUCAUCU
Molecule: long non-coding RNA, 18952 nt
Filed under: Lactuca sativa (garden lettuce)
Lineage: Eukaryota; Viridiplantae; Streptophyta; Magnoliopsida; Asterales; Asteraceae
Description: long non-coding RNA (LSAT_LNC008026)
Source: RNAcentral